GUCCACAUAGCUCAGCAGGAUAGAGCACAGGAUUCCUUAUAAAUUGGGGGUUGCAUCUGGAAACAAUGCAAUCGAUCUGCUCAAAGUCGGGGAACGCUUCGCUGGUCCGCCAGCAUGCCAAUCCCGAGCCAAGCUCCGAAGCAAUUCGGUGAAGGUGUAGAGACUGGACGGGCAGCACCUAAGGGCUUCGGCCUACGGUGAAGGGACAGUCCAGACCACGAACGUCUUAUGACGGCGGCUAAAGUCGAAGUGGUAUGAAUCCUGGGGUCGGAGGUUCGAAUCCUCUUGUGGACACCA
RNAcentral lists this transfer RNA (297 nucleotides) under Gillisella vitis. RNAcentral describes it as "Agrobacterium vitis tRNA-Arg". Lineage: Bacteria; Pseudomonadati; Pseudomonadota; Alphaproteobacteria; Hyphomicrobiales; Rhizobiaceae. The record is from RNAcentral.